CAGUAGCCACGGGAAUACGUAGGUGGCAAGCGUUGUCCGGAAUUAUUGGGCGUAAAGGGCUCGCAGGCGGCUUCUUAAGUCUGAUGUGAAAGCCCCCGGCUCAACCGGGGAGGGUCAUUGGAAACUGGGAAACUUGAGUGCAGAAGAGGAGAGUGGAAUUCCACGUGUAGCGGUGAAAUGCGUAGAGAUGUGGAGGAACACCAGUGGCGAAGGCGACUCUCUGGUCUGUAACUGACGCUGAGGAGCGAAAGCGUGGGGAGCGAACAGGAUUAGAUACCCCCGUAGUCCCUGUCUCUUAUAC
This 301-nucleotide ribosomal RNA is filed under the name uncultured bacterium. RNAcentral's name for it is "partial 16S ribosomal RNA". It matches the Rfam family "Bacterial small subunit ribosomal RNA", at positions 509 to 807 of the family's 1533-position model. The record is from RNAcentral.